This 274-nucleotide ribosomal RNA is filed under the name uncultured bacterium. RNAcentral's name for it is "partial 16S ribosomal RNA". It matches the Rfam family "Bacterial small subunit ribosomal RNA", at positions 523 to 796 of the family's 1533-position model. The record is from RNAcentral.
AUACGGAGGGUCCAAGCGUUAAUCGGAAUUACUGGGCGUAAAGCGCACGUAGGCGGAUCGUUAAGUUGGGGGUGAAAUCCCGAGGCUCAACCUCGGAACUGCCUUCAAUACUGGCGAUCUUGAGACCGAGAGAGGUGAGUGGAACUCCGAGUGUAGAGGUGAAAUUCGUAGAUAUUCGGAAGAACACCAGUGGCGAAGGCGGCUCACUGGCUCGGUACUGACGCUGAGGUGCGAAAGCGUGGGGAGCAAACAGGAUUAGAUACCCCGGUAGUCC